ACACCUUUGAGAGUAACUGUUCAAGGGUUGACGGUAUUUAACCAGAAAGCCACGGCUAACUACGUGCCAGCAGCCGCGGUAAUACGUAGGUGGCAAGCGUUGUCCGGAUUUAUUGGGCGUAAAGCGAGCGCAGGCGGUUUUUUAAGUCUGAUGUGAAAGCCUUCGGCUUAACCGGAGAAGUGCAUCGGAAACUGGGAAAAUUGGAUUCCAGAAGGGGCCAGUGGGACUCCAUGGGAGGGGGGGAAAGGGGUAGAUAUAGGGAGGAACCCCAGGGGCGAAGGCGGCUGUUUAGUCUGUAACUGGCGGUGGGGCUGGAAAGCAUGGGUGGGGAACAGGAUUAGAUACCCUGGUAGUCCAUGCGGUAAACGAUGAGUGUUAAGUGUGGGAGGGUUUCCGCCCUUCAGUGGUGCAGCUAACGCAUUAAGCACUCCGCCUGGGGAGUACGACCGCAAGGUUGAAACUCAAAGGAAUUGACGGGGGCCCGCACAAGCGGUGGAGCAUGUGGUUUAAUUCGAAGCUACGCGAAGAACCUUACCAGGUCUUGACAUCUUCUGCCAAUCUUAGAGAUAAGACGUUCCCUUCGGGGACAGAAUGACAGGUGGUGCAUGGUUGUCGUCAGCUCGUGUCGUGAGAUGUUGGGUUAAGUCCCGCAACGAGCGCAACCCUUAUUAUCAGUUGCCAGCAUUCAGUUGGGCACUCUGGUGAGACUGCCGGUGACAAACCGGAGGAAGGUGGGGAUGACGUCAAAUCAUCAUGCCCCUUAUGACCUGGGCUACACACGUGCUACAAUGGACGGUACAACGAGUCGCGAAGUCGUGAGGCUAAGCUAAUCUCUUAAAGCCGUUCUCAGUUCGGAUUGUAGGCUGCAACUCGCCUACAUGAAGUUGGAAUCGCUAGUAAUCGCGGAUCAGCAUGCCGCGGUGAAUACGUUCCCGGGCCUUGUACACACCGCCCGUCACACCAUGAGAGUUUGUAACACCCAAAGCCGGUGAGAUACCUCGGAUCAGCGUAAGGUAUU
RNAcentral lists this ribosomal RNA (1018 nucleotides) under Levilactobacillus brevis. RNAcentral's name for it is "bacterial SSU rRNA". It matches the Rfam family "Bacterial small subunit ribosomal RNA", at positions 450 to 1466 of the family's 1533-position model. The record is from RNAcentral. Lineage: Bacteria; Bacillati; Bacillota; Bacilli; Lactobacillales; Lactobacillaceae.